AGUUACCACUAUACUAGUGCAGGAGAAGCAGAAAGGAAGAUGCUGCUACCCAGAGCCCACAGUCAUUGUGCCCCUGAUGCCGCUGGAACCCCACUGCAGCUGCUUUACAGGAAGCAGGGAAUUAGCGCUCUUGCUGAUGCUACAGGUAUCCAGGAUCCAAAAGUCAUCAGCCGCUGUCCCUGUUGCAGCCUAGGGAAACUGUCCCACUGAGGUUGUUGGGGUACCUGCUACUGCAUCUACUGUCUGAACCAUGUUGCCUGAGCAGAUGUCCAGGGCUCAGGCUUGCCUGCUGCUGUUACUGCUGCCACCAUGUUUAUCAGAGCUACUUCAAGAAGAGAAGAAAUCCUCCUCAUUUCCAGUUUUUUCCAGUGCCUCCCAUUGCUUCCCAGAAUGCCAAAUUCUCUUUGAGAGACAGCUGAAAGGAAGGUUUGGAAAAGACUCUGGUGUAAGCAGAUUCUGCUUCCCUGCAAUAGGGGGAAAGCAUAGGGUGGAACUGGAGCUGAGAGCUAAUCACGAAUGAGCAAAUCAGUCUUCAAGACAUUUACCUUUCCUUGAAACGUUUCCCUUCUUUUACCGUGUUUUCCAUGUCAUUAUUUUUCCACAAUUCUGCAUCAUAUUCUGUUAACUAUUAAUGCCCUGGAUAAGUUUAUUUGCUCUUUCUUAGGGUUAAUUUUUCUCCUUUUCUUCGAAGCUUUAGUUUGCAGGUUCAGCUUGUGUGGGAAUUUUCAUCUCCCUCCUCUUCAAGACUCCUUGGAUAUCAGUUUUUUGGUUGCCUUCACCAACUCUCCCCCCACCAUCUCUAGACCAGGGCAUGGUCUUAGUUGGUGGCUUGGACUCCUGUGGCUUGGAGUCUUUGGGGAUAUUAGAGAUCCAGUCACUGAGCUGGCAAAGGGAACACUGUCCUUGCUUCCAGCUUUAUGAAGAACGCUUUGCUCUGUCACCCCACGUAAAUAAUCAUGUUAUUCAAGGAUAAUGAAUGCAGCCACCAUGUAAUCAUCACUGACUCCAUGAGACAGCGUCUCUCACUGUCACCUAGGCUGGAGUGCAGUAGCAUGAUCAUAGCUCACUGCAGCCUUGGACUUCUGGGCUCAAGCUGUUCUCCCCUCUCAGCCUCUCAAGUAGCUAGGUCUGUGAGCAAAUGCUACCACGCCCAGGCCAUGAGAAAAGAGACCUAAGAAAUGAUGCCCAUCCAGAAGAGUGAAGACUUCCUGAAAAUGUUCUUUUAACCUAAGAUGUAGGUUAAGAGGAGUGAAAAAAUGUUCUGUUUCUGACUGAUGAUGGAGCAACAAAGGAACUCCUAAAGAAGAAAUCAUCCAUUCAGUGAGAGCAAAUGAACACUCCAACAGACUGAAACAAAGCAUCUUUACAGGAGAUGUGAAUGCGAGAAAGCAAAGAGAACUACAGUCAGGGUCUCCGCUGGCAUGGCCCAAGCCCACCGUGGCAUGAUCCAGAGAGACGAGUCAGCAGAGCACUAUGGGCAGCUCCCAUACUCUUCGCAGAUCAACAAGCCAGCAUAUAACCCAGGGAGAUAGAUAAUAGUGAUGCUGUGCUCUGUAGAGGGUAGUGGCAACAGUGGGAUUUCUUCUGGAAUAAAUCUGUAGUGAGCCAGAUGUUUCUGCUGACUAUAUUACUUCUGACAGUGUAUAAUCCAAAAUUGUUUCCUUGGCCUUCCAAAAAGUUUUAUAAGCUCCCUAACGGCUGCAAUAAAUCCCUUUCUUCUUAAA
This 1724-nucleotide long non-coding RNA is filed under the name Homo sapiens (human). Its description in RNAcentral is "long independently transcribed non-coding RNA 2795, transcript variant 1 (LINC02795)". Lineage: Eukaryota; Metazoa; Chordata; Mammalia; Primates; Hominidae. The record is from RNAcentral.